Pygoscelis adeliae (Adelie penguin) is the source of this 1244-nucleotide long non-coding RNA. RefSeq lists it as uncharacterized. The transcript is spliced from 3 exons. NCBI's taxonomy places the organism in Eukaryota, Metazoa, Chordata, Aves, Sphenisciformes, Spheniscidae. The record is from RefSeq and is a predicted model, not a curated record.
UUGACAGAUGAACAAAAAUCCCGAAUCCAGGCUAUGAAGCCAAUGACAAAGGAAGAAUGGGACGCAAGGCAGAGUGUCAUAAGGAGAGUCGUGGAUCCCGAAACGGGGAGAACCAGGCUUAUUAAGGGAGACGGAGAAGUACUAGAAGAAAUUGUCAGCAAGGAGAGACACAAGGAGAUUAACAAGCAAGCCACCCGGGGGGACGGGCUGGCCUUCCAGGUGAGGACGGGGAUGCUGCAGUGAGCGCGCAAGCGCCAGCCAUGCCGGGAGCCUGUCCUGCUGCUGGCGCCAGCCCAGGCGUGAGCCUCUGUCUCUGGAUCACGUAGACGGCACUGCGUCAGGAUUCUUCCCCAGGGGCAGUUUCCAGCCGCUCUGUAAGUUAUUGACUGGGAAGGAGAGCAACUUUAAUAGUUCAUCUCCCAGUAAACAGCUUCUCCCCUCCCUCUCCUGACUGGGGCCAGCGUGGCUGUAACGCACUUGGACCUGCUUGCCCCGAUGCCCCUCUCGAGGCCGGAGGAGCUCAGCAGCACCCAGGGGACAGGCUCGCUGGUGUUGAGCACCUAGCGGUGCUGCUGCCCCUCAGCUCUGGGCUUUGGUGGGCAGGAGCCAGCGCUGUGGCCAGGACAGGGUAUGUGCUGGGGCUGCAAAAUAUGCAGCUGGAUGCCACUUCUUCCCUUCAGGGGCUGCUCUUGGCCCCUUCCUUGCUGGAUCUGCAUGCCCCGUGCUUACCUGGUGCUGCAGGCUCGUGGGCCCUUUGCACUCACCCACCCGGCUCAGAGAGGAGCGGCUGUGCCGCUGCGUGGCUCUGCUCAGGCUGCAGCUCUCCUCUGCAACUUCAAGUGCCACCCUCCGCUGUGCCCCAGGAGCUUUACUCAGCUUUUCUGCAGCUUCAUCUUGUCGGGUGGCGCUGGGGGAGCACAGCCCCGGCACACCGCACUGGGGUGCGGGCAGGCGUGCUUUGCAGAAGGGUGGCUUUGCCUUGCCGUCUGUUCCUGCAUGCGACUUGUGUCCCUUCCCCACAGCGCAGGCUCCGGGCAGCGUUAGGGUUCUGGGCUUCUCAGGACCCGUGCCCAUGGCCGCUGUGAAGCAAACAGCUGGCCUUUCCCCCACUGCAAAGCCCAUAAAUCGACAGACUGGGAGGGGAAAAAAAAAAAAAGGACAAACGGGUCCUGCAGGACGGAUCUGCGCGGAGGGGCUCCACGUUCUGUUCAUCGCUGUAACCCCAUUAAACUGGCGCCUGCUCA